AGACACACUCCAGGUGUUCUGAGAUGGAAUGAAAAUUGAGUGCUUUCAGACUGAUGGGACCAUUACACCUUUAACCACCAGAGAAAAAAUGCAUCGUUCAGACUUCUAGGAUUACCGCAAAAUUACUUACGCGACGAGUCCCGACGGCUCUGUUGACAGAAUGAGGUGGACGUGCAGGUUGAGGCUGGUUUGGUUCACGAGCUAAUGAAUCAUCAAUGAAUUCCCAUCUUACACAAAACAUAAUAACAGUGUUCUGCUGUUGAACUGUUGCUACUCUUCUUCUGUCAGAUGAUUUAUGGUGUUGGGUAGAUUAGGACAAACACCAAUGACAUAUGUGCCCUUUAAUUCACCAGCCGCUGCCAUUGGACGAGUUGGGCCGUAAGCCUCCAUAGAUCUCACCUGAGGGUGCUGCUUGAGGAAUGAAGCUUGACAUUGAAUGAAAAGCAAUUAAGUUUGAGAGAAAGAGGCGGAUGAUUCUUUGACCCUGCCUACUCAUCUGUUCAAUCCCAGAAGUCUUCAGUGUUACAUACAUGAAUGAUUUUCACCUCAUGAGUCCUGUUGUGGAGGUUUUCAUCUUUAAGGUGCACAUCGACGCUCAGCUGACCUGGAAACAGCAGCAAGGACAGCGGUGAUUAAUGACAUCAGUGAUAAAGUGGGUGGUCUGCUCUAGUUUUCAGUCUUAGUUGUGGUUGAUUUUAAUAAUCAUAACAUUUAAAUGAUGAUAUGCAGAAGCAGAGGAACACUUUGAAUGGGUAGACAUUAUUACAAAUACAAGCUUUUGCUCAAUGGACGAAUAAAGAAAACCAAUUCAAAUCUCAUUCAACACAGCACAUUUUAUAGACAACAGGAAACACUGUUUGCAAUCUUUUUUAUUUCUGUUAUCUUUGAGAUUUUCAGGCGAUGUAUUUUUUAGUAAAUGAAUCCUACACGUGUGCUGCGA
Molecule: non-coding RNA, 940 nt
Organism: Misgurnus anguillicaudatus (oriental weatherfish)
Lineage: Eukaryota; Metazoa; Chordata; Actinopteri; Cypriniformes; Cobitidae
Source: RefSeq, a predicted model, not a curated record